RNAcentral lists this ribosomal RNA (307 nucleotides) under Coelotinae sp. ZZ391. Its description in RNAcentral is "partial 12S ribosomal RNA". The record is from RNAcentral. Lineage: Eukaryota; Metazoa; Arthropoda; Arachnida; Araneae; Agelenidae.
AAACUAAUUUAAUUUGGCGGCAUUUCAUCUAAUUAGAGGAAUUUGUCCUUUAAUCGACAAUCCACGAUAAACCUUACUUAAUUUAUAAAAUUUAUAUACCGCCAUCUUAAGAAUUAAUCAACAAAUAUUUCUCACAAAAAACAAUAAAAAGUUAGGUCAAGGUGUAGUCAACAUUUAAGUCUGAGAUGAAUUACACUAAAUAAUAUUUAAAAAUUAUAAAUAUAAAAUUUAUAUGAAUAAGGAUUUAUAAGUAAUAUUAAAAUAAUAUUUUAAUAUGAUAAAGAUAAUAAAUGUGCACACAUCGCCC